AGCAGUAGCCGCGGUAAUACGGAGGAUCCAAGCGUUAUCCGGAAUCAUUGGGUUUAAAGGGUCCGUAGGCGGUCUUGUAAGUCAGUGGUGAAAGCCCAUCGCUCAACGGUGGAACGGCCAUUGAUACUGCAGGACUUGAAUUAUUGGGAAGUAACUAGAAUAUGUAGUGUAGCGGUGAAAUGCUUAGAGAUUACAUGGAAUACCAAUUGCGAAGGCAGGUUACUACCAAUUGAUUGACGCUGAUGGACGAAAGCGUGGGUAGCGAACAGGAUUAGAUACCCCAGUAGUCCCUGUCUCUUAUAA
Molecule: ribosomal RNA, 303 nt
Filed under: uncultured bacterium
Lineage: Bacteria
Description: partial 16S ribosomal RNA
Rfam family: Bacterial small subunit ribosomal RNA
Source: RNAcentral